Molecule: ribosomal RNA, 427 nt
Filed under: uncultured bacterium
Lineage: Bacteria
Description: bacterial SSU rRNA
Rfam family: Bacterial small subunit ribosomal RNA
Source: RNAcentral
UCGAGAAUUUUUCACAAUGGGCGAGAGCCUGAUGGAGCGACGCCGCGUGGGGGAUGAAUGGCUUCGGCCCGUAAACCCCUGUCAUUCGCGAGCAAACGUUAUUAUUUAAAAGGUGAUAGCCUGAUAGUAGCGAAAGAGGAAGGGACGGCUAACUCUGUGCCAGCAGCCGCGGUAAUACAGAGGUCCCAAGCGUUGUUCGGAUUUACUGGGCGUAAAGGGUGCGUAGGUGGUGGGGUAAGUCGGAUGUGAAAUCUCCGAGCUCAACUCGGAAAGUGCACUGGAAACUACCCUGCUCGAGGGUUGGAGGGGGGACUGGAAUACUUGGUGUAGCAGUGAAAUGCGUAGAUAUCAAGUGGAACACCAGUGGCGAAGGCGAGUCCCUGGACAACUCCUGACACUGAGGCACGAAAGCUAGGGGAGCAAACAG